CACAUGCAAGUCGAGCGGCAGCGGGAAGUAGUUUACUACUUUGCCGGCGAGCGGCGGACGGGUGAGUAAUGUCUGGGAAACUGCCUGAUGGAGGGGGAUAACUACUGGAAACGGUAGCUAAUACCGCAUAACGUCUACGGACCAAAGUGGGGGACCUUCGGGCCUCACGCCAUCGGAUGUGCCCAGAUGGGAUUAGCUAGUAGGUGGGGUAAUGGCUCACCUAGGCGACGAUCCCUAGCUGGUCUGAGAGGAUGACCAGCCACACUGGAACUGAGACACGGUCCAGACUCCUACGGGAGGCAGCAGUGGGGAAUAUUGCACAAUGGGCGCAAGCCUGAUGCAGCCAUGCCGCGUGUGUGAAGAAGGCCUUCGGGUUGUAAAGCACUUUCAGCGAGGAGGAAGGCAUAAAGGUUAAUAACCUUUGUGAUUGACGUUACUCGCAGAAGAAGCACCGGCUAACUCCGUGCCAGCAGCCGCGGUAAUACGGAGGGUGCAAGCGUUAAUCGGAAUUACUGGGCGUAAAGCGCACGC
This 531-nucleotide ribosomal RNA is filed under the name Yersinia enterocolitica. RNAcentral's name for it is "bacterial SSU rRNA". It matches the Rfam family "Bacterial small subunit ribosomal RNA", at positions 52 to 572 of the family's 1533-position model. Lineage: Bacteria; Pseudomonadati; Pseudomonadota; Gammaproteobacteria; Enterobacterales; Yersiniaceae. The record is from RNAcentral.